Molecule: long non-coding RNA, 656 nt
Filed under: Homo sapiens (human)
Lineage: Eukaryota; Metazoa; Chordata; Mammalia; Primates; Hominidae
Description: PREDICTED lncRNA (TCONS_00032126)
Source: RNAcentral
CGGCUCCAGAUCCAGGUUAGACUUCGUUCCUAACGUCAAGGCUCCCAGGCUCCACUUCCGGUUCCGAGGGGGCCGUCCCGUCACCCCCGGAAGUUCCUCCUCCACGCUUUAGGGCCGGGCCACUUCUUCUGCCACGUCUGCAUUUCGGGGACCCGGAUGCCGCGCAUGCGCCUCUUUCAUCUUCCCAUCAUGGCCGCCGCCUGUGCGCCUCUGCUGAGUCACCCUGCACUCAUUGGAUCAGCUGACUACCUAGACCAGUAACCUGGCUCAAUCAGUUCUGCCAUUCCACCCAGGAACAGAAAACAGCAAGAAAACCUCACUUUGACUCCCUGUGAUUCCGUCUUCAACCUGACCAAUCAGCACUCCCCGCUUCCCAAGCUCCUACUCGCCAAAUUAUCUUUAAGAACUCUGAUCCUCAAAUGCUCAGGGAGACUAAUUUGUGUAAUAAUAAAACUCUGGUCUCCCACACAGCUGGCUCUGCGUGAAUUACUCUUUCUCCAUUGCAAUUCCCUGGUCUUGAUAAAUCAGCUUUGUCAAGGCAGCAGGCAGGGUGAACCCACUGAGCGCUGACAUUGUGUGCCAAGCCAUGUUCUUGGGUCUGGAAAUAGAGCAGUGAACAAAAGUGUUUGUUCUCAUAUUAUUGACAGUAAAUAUCA